ACCAGACUCCUACGGGAGGCAGCAGUGAGGAAUAUUGGCCAAUGGACGCAAGUCUGAACCAGCCAAGUAGCGUGCAGGAUGACGGCCCUCCGGGUUGUAAACUGCCUUUAGUUGGGAAUAAAAGGGGGCUCGUGAGCCCCGUAUUGUAUGUACCAUCAGAAAAAGGACCGGCUAAUUCCGUGCCAGCAGCCGCGGUAAUACGGAAGGUCCGGGCGUUAUCCGGAUUUAUUGGGUGUAAAGGGUGCGUAGAUGGUUAAACAAGUUUGUUGUGAAAUCCCUCGGCUUAACUGAGGAAUUGCAACCAAAACUGUAUAUCUUGAGUACUGGAGAGGAAAGCGGAAUUCCUAGUGUAGCGGUGAAAUGCGUA
RNAcentral lists this ribosomal RNA (367 nucleotides) under uncultured bacterium. Its description in RNAcentral is "bacterial SSU rRNA". It matches the Rfam family "Bacterial small subunit ribosomal RNA", at positions 330 to 692 of the family's 1533-position model. The record is from RNAcentral.